This 926-nucleotide ribosomal RNA is filed under the name uncultured archaeon. Its description in RNAcentral is "bacterial SSU rRNA". It matches the Rfam family "Archaeal small subunit ribosomal RNA", at positions 4 to 926 of the family's 1478-position model. The record is from RNAcentral.
CCGGUUGAUCCCGCCGGAGGUUAUUGCUAUCCGGAUUCGACUAAGCCAUGCAAGUCUUGAUGUUCAUUUAUGGACAUUAGGGCAGAAAGCUCAGUAACAUGUAGUUAAUAUGCCCUCAAGUCAGGGAUAAUCUCGGGAAACUGAGGCUAAUACCUGAUAGAUAAGAAAUACUGGAAUGUUUUCUUUUCAAAAGCUUUUGCGCUUGAGGAUUGGACUGCACCGGAUUAGGUUGUUGUUAGGGUAACGUCCUGGCAAGCCGAUAAUCCGUACGAGCCUUGAGAGAGGAAGCUCGGAGAUGGAUUCUGAGACAAGAAUCCAGGCCCUACGGGGCGCAGCAGGCGCGAAACUUUCCCAAUGCACGCAAGUGUGAGGAAGGGAUCUGGAGUGCAUUCUCUUACAUAGGGGAUGCUUUUGUGGAGUGUAAACAGCUCCAAGAAUAAGUGGUGGGUAAGACGGGUGCCAGCCGCCGCGGUAAUACCCGCGCCACGAGUGAUAACCACGUUUAUUGGGCUUAAAGCGUUCGUAGCCGGUCCAGAAAGUCCUUAGUGAAAUCCCGCAGCUAACUGUGGGGCUUGCUAGGGAAACUAUUGGACUUGGGACCGGGAGAGGUCUGGGGUACUCAAAGGGUAGGGGUAAAAUCCUGUAAUCCUUUGGGGACCACCUGUGGCGAAGGCGCCAGACCAGAACGGAUCCGACGGUGAGGGACGAAAGCCAGGGGAGCAAAGGGGAUUAGAUACCCCCGUAGUCCUGGCUGUAAACGAUGCCCACUAGACAUUGGCAAUCUUACGUGGGUUGUCAGUGUCGUAGCGAAAGCGUUAAGUGGGCCGCCUGGGGAGUACGGUCGCAAAGCUGAAACUUAAGGGAAUUGGCGGGGGAGCACACAAGGGGUGGAGGCUGCGGUUUAAUUGGAGUCAACGCCGGGAAUC